Molecule: RNA transcript, 2781 nt
Organism: Rattus norvegicus (Norway rat)
Lineage: Eukaryota; Metazoa; Chordata; Mammalia; Rodentia; Muridae
Gene: Acot5-ps1
Gene name: acyl-CoA thioesterase 5, pseudogene 1
Source: RefSeq, a predicted model, not a curated record
UUGUCACGCGGAGCCCACGAGUCAGAAACUCCCAGAGACGCACUAGGUCGCCUCCACAGCAGGUCAGGCUCUGCUCCGAACUCCGGUCGUGCUCUCCCAGGCCACCCCACCCCCACCCCACCCUCGCUCCUCAUGGAGGCAAGGCUGACCCUGGAGCCCACCGGCCGCAGCUGCUGGGACGAGCCGCUGAGGAUCACGGUGCGUGGACUGGCCCCCGAGCAGCCCGUCACGUUGUGCUCGUCCCUGCGCGACGAGAAGGGCGCGCUCUUCCGAGCCCACGCGCUCUACCGCGCCGAUGCCCACGGAGAGCUGGACCUGGCGCGCGCGCCCGCUCUGGGCGGCAGCUUCACGGGGCUCGAGCCCAUGGGGCUGAUCUGGGCCAUGGAGCCCGAACGGCCUUUCUGGCGUCUGAUCAAGCGCGACGUGCAGACGCCCUUCGUGGUGGAGCUGGAGGUGCUGGACGGACACGAGCCUGACGGUCGGCGGCUGCUGGCCCGGACGGUGCACGAGCGUCACUUCAUGGCUCCCGGGGUGCGGCGCGUGCCCGUGCGCGAGGGCCGGGUGCGCACCACGCUCUUCCUGCCCCCAGGGAAUGGACCCUUUCCUGGAAUCAUAAAUCUUUUUGGAGUUGGAGGCGGCCUUCUGGAGUACCGGGCGAGUCUGCUGGCUGGGAAGGGCUUUGCCGUCAUGGCUCUGGCUUAUUACACUACAAGGACCUCCCCAAGGACAUGGACAUUAUCCGCCUGGAGUACUUUGAGGAAGCUGUGUCCUACCAGCUCCGUCACCCUCAGGUCAAGGGUCCAGGAAUUGGCCUGCUGGGGAUUUCCAAAGGGGCUGAACUCUGCCUCUCCAUGGCCUCUUUCCUGAACGGCAUCACAGCCGCUGUCAUAAUCAAUGGCUCCAUGGUCAAUGUUGCUGGAACAUUAUACUACAAGGAGGAGAGUCUGCCUGCUUCGAGCAUGAAUCUAGAACGAAUCAGGGUGACCAAAGAUGGGUUUAAAGAUGUUAUAGAUAUCCUGACUGUCCCUCCAGAAGGUCCAGACCAGAAAAGCAUCAUCCCUGUGGAAAGGUCUAACACGACCUUCCUGUUCCUCGUUGGUCAGGAUGACCGCAACUGGAAGAGCGAGUUCUAUGCCAGAGAGGCCUCCAAACGCUUGCAGGCCCAUGGGAAGGAGAAGCCUCAGAUCAUCUUCUACCCAGAGACAGGCCACUAUAUUGAGCCUCCUUACUUCCCCUUGUGUAAGGCUUCAACACACUUUUUUUUUUUUUUUUUUUUGGUUCUUUUUUUCGGAGCUGGGGACCGAACCCAGGGCCUUGCGCUUCCUAGGUAAGCGCUCUACCACUGAGCUAAAUCCCCAGCCCCAACACACUUUUACUUUAACUUUGUUGUGAUCUGAGGAGGAGAGCCCAGGGCUCACACCAUGGCCCAGGUGGACGCUUGGCAGAAACUCUAGACUUUUCCACAAACACUUGGGUGUUAACGAGAGGACAAUCCCAGCAAAACUGUUAUUUUCUUUGAGUAGUGACAUUUCUGAUACUCAUGUGUACGCACUUUGUUUUUCUCCUUUUAAUGAAGUCUUGAAGUCUUCCCCCCCCCCCCCAAAGUUUUAUGGACUGUGUUUGAGGAAGGAUUGGGUCUUACUUUCUUACGGUGCCAAGGACUGAGCCCAGGGCUUGUGCAUAGUAGGGCUAGCACUCUGCUGCUGAGCUAGCCCACUGCACCUUAGUGGGUAGCAAUUUUUAAGAACCUUAAGAGGUUGAGAAGCGUUUCUGCUUCGUGGAACAGAAAGCAACUGGUAGCGCUUCGGUGCCUACUGCAUACUGCAAGCGGAUAACUAUUUACUAAGUGACUGCUCAUGAACAAAUCCUUAAUCUCCGUGCGAGAAAGCAUAUGCAGUAGCUCCUCGUGUCUGUAGGUUCUUCAUUGCAGCCUGUAUCACCUAGGGAUCAAAAGGCUCUAAACCUCCUCUGAGCACACAGGGCCUUGUCAGGGCAUUUUCCCUUAAGCAUCAUGCUGCAGAAUCGGAGCUAUUUACACGGCAUUUGCACUACGCUUAGGGUCAUAGGUAAUCCGGUUGUGAUUAACACAGAUUUUCUGACUACAUGCCAAUCACACACCAUUUUAUAUGAAGUACGUGAAUCAUUGCAGCUUCUGGGUCCAGGUUCCAAUCCCUCGGCUGUAAUAUAAAACUCAUUUAAUAUCAGGUUUGAGGCUGGAGAGGUAGCUCAGUAUUAAGAGCACUGAUGCUCUUCCAGAGGUCCUGAGUUCAAAUCCCAGCAACUACAUGGUGGCUCACAACCAUCUGUUAUGGGAUCCAAGGCCCUUUUCUGGUGUUUCUGAAGACAGAUGCAGUGUACUUAUAUACAUUAAAUACAUAAGAAAAUGUUAAAAAACAAUAUCAGAUUUCAAUUUCUCCUGUUAGAAUGGAAGUCACAACACUUUAGUUACAGAGUAUUUACUAGUUAGAAAUAAAACUAAUAAAAAUUUUAAAGCAGGGGUUGGGGAUUUAGCUCAGUGGUAGAGCACUUGCCUAGCAAGCACAAGGCCCUGGGUUCAGUCCCCAGCUCCGAAAAAAAGAAAAGGAAAAAAAAAUUAAAGCAAAUGUGCAUCUAGCUUUAUAAUAUCUUUUCAAAUGAAUAAGGAUUCUUCUAGCAAAGCAAUUGUAUUGGGCUUCUUGUAUAUACUAUGGACACGUAACUUCAAUAUCUCAAAGGUUGGUAGAACAUUUACAUUAGGAUUAUGUGAUUUUUAAAAAUGAUAUUGGUAACACUAUAUAAAAG